AUACGUAGGUGGAAAGCGUUGUCCGGAAUUAUUGGGCGUAAAGCGCGCGCAGGUGGUUCCUUAAGUCUGAUGUGAAAGCCCCCGGCUCAACCGGGGAGGGUCAUUGGAAACUGGGGAACUUGAGUGCAGAAGAGGAUAGUGGAAUUCCAAGUGUAGCGGUGAAAUGCGUAGAGAUUUGGAGGAACACCAGUGGCGAAGGCGACUGUCUGGUCUGUAACUGACACUGAGGCGCGAAAGCUUGGGGAGCAAACAGGAUUAGAUACCCUGGUAGUCCACGCCGUAAACGAUGAGUGCUAAGUGUUGGGGGGUUUCCGCCCCUCAGUGCUGCAGCUAACGCAUUAAGCACUCCGCCUGGGGAGUACGGUCGCAAGACUGAAACUCAAAUGAAUUGACGGGG
Molecule: ribosomal RNA, 397 nt
Filed under: uncultured bacterium
Lineage: Bacteria
Description: partial 16S ribosomal RNA
Rfam family: Bacterial small subunit ribosomal RNA
Source: RNAcentral